This is a long non-coding RNA of Equus caballus (horse), 2359 nucleotides long. The record is from Ensembl. Lineage: Eukaryota; Metazoa; Chordata; Mammalia; Perissodactyla; Equidae.
UGACUAUCGUCAAGGAUGUGAAAACUUCUAAGAGAAGUUUCCAGUGGUGGGAGUUUAAACUUAGAUAACCAAAAAUACCGUUUAAUUGCUAACAUUUGGUUCUUUGAACAAUGAAAACAGGAAUGUUAAAGGCACUGUAACAUCUGGAAAGGAGAGGAAUAUCAGAGCGGAGAUGUUUUCCCUGUGCUCCUAAAAUCAUGUAACAUACCUUCCGCUUAUAUGUUAGAUGGGUGUAGAUAAAAGUUAGGCAUCAGGAUUAUUGUAUGUGUCAGUAGAUGGGGCACCAGCCCUAGAUUGUGGGAGCAGUGGUGAAACCAUUUGCCACGGAUCCUAUAUUCUCAGAAGAGACUGGAGCAGAUUCUUCACUAAGAGCAAUUUCCACCGCAGCUCCCAAAGUGUUGGCAUCCAAUGGGAGGCCCAAAGGCAUCUAGGAUAGUUUGGGUUAUCCCUUAGGCCAGUCUCAAGGAGACCAUACUGGCUAUGUUGCCAAAUCAUAGAGUUUGGCACACCAGAUAUGAUGUACUGUCACCACUUAGGUUUGGAUCCUCCUGAAACACCACCACCACCGCCGCCAUGACCACCACCACCAUCAAUUGCUGCAUUAGAUUAUGCUGGGUAAUGAACAACUGCAAAAUCUGAGUGGCUUAUGACAGCAAGAUUUAGUUCUCACUUUACACUAUGUGCCCACUAUGGACUGGGUGAAGUUCUGCUCAAGUCUCCUAUCUCUGGAGUCUGUGCUGAUGGAAUACAUCUCUGAAAGAUUGCCAGUCACCAUGAUUGAGGGAAAGAGAGAAUAUGAAAAUUGUUUACUGGCUCUUAGAAUUUCUUCUUGAAAUAGGGUGUUGGGCUUCUGGGUUGUGAUUAAGAUGGCAUUUUGGUUAUGUUAGGUCUGUGAUCCAGCAAUAACUGGAUUCAGCCUCUCAUGAGCAAUCUUUACCAGAUCCUGAAAAAAAUGCAUGAAGAAAAUAGUAAGAAAAUAUACCAUGUUUCCACUGAUGUGUGUGUGUCCCCCAGUGAAGAAUCCAGUGAGCUAGAUAGGACCCCACCGGGAACUCCUUUGUGUUACCUGAGCAGCUUGAGACUAAAAGGGGUUAAAUGCCUGCUUUGCUUACUUUCACUCCACAGCACUGAUCUGAGUCUUAUUCCUAUUACUCCAUAUAUCUGCCAACAAGAGGCUGAAGAGAGCACAAGAUACACGGGAAGGAACUGGAGAGUGUUUGUCGCAAAACCACAUGGAGAGCUGGUGUAGGCUGCAUGUCCAAGCCACAUGGUGAAAGAAGCCAGAGAACCUGAAGAGAGAAACAGGGAGCAGGAGCCGGCCAGUGGAAAGCAUGCAUGUUGGGAGACAGCCCGGUUCUCAAGAAGGACAGGCCAAGACCACAGCUUAGCUUCUCUAGGCUGGCAAGAGUGACCCGAAAUUGAAGCAUGUGGAUGCACGGAGGGUAUCAGGUAAUAAUCUGUUCUUAUUUCUCAGUAGGAAGGUGCGUCACUUUAAGGCUUAGACUUUAAAAAGUUCCUUGUAGGUUGUUGUUGAUGCUGAUUCAUUAUAAUUUUAUUCUGUAUAUUUCAAGCACCUACAGGUAUUUUUAUUUUUUCUCAACAGCAGGUGAGACGUGGUCUAUUUUUUUGCCUGACACACAGAGUGUGGCUGGGGCCUGUGACUAGGUGCGAAUGUCCUCUCUAGCUUCUAAUUUGGGUCUCUAGCUGCUUCUUCCCAGCAAGAAUUCUUAACAAGAAAAAGAAACCAAAAUAAUGUAGUUCCAAUGAGUAGGUUAUUUUAUGUCAGUUUUUGCAGACAGUGGUUUGUCAAUGCCAGGCGCCUCUGUGUUUUCUUAAUAAUAGAAGUAGAUUUAGACUUUCAGACAUGAAAUUGGUUCACAAAGUCGUGGUAUGUGAGUUUAUUUCUGAGGGUAAGAGAAGUGAUACCGUUCGAAGUUGCUAGAAUAGUUGGAGUGGGGAUGCAAAUUACCCUGAUGUGGAUCUUGAGAAGCAGUGACAAGGGUGCGAUCCUGUAAUACUAGCAGGCGGUUCAGUACUAGGCCACGUUUUGCAUCAGGAGCUGUGGCCAACUCUUUGCUUUUUCCCCUUCUCUUCUCUCUCCCCUUUGCUCCUGCACCUCGUCAGCUCUGCGGUGGGCUGGUGGUGGUUCAAUGAGUAGGCUCCGGAGCCUGACUUCACAAGUGCAGAUUCUUGCUCCACCAUAGACGCCCGCAUGACCUUGGCGAGUCACUCACUUUCAGUAGGCCUCAGUUUUCUUAUUGGGUAGUGAGUAUAAUUUUUUCUUACUUCCUUGGGGGAGGACUAAGUGAGGUAAUUAAUGUAAAGUGCUUAACAAAAUGCCAGGAGCAUUGCAGGUGCC